Molecule: long non-coding RNA, 1177 nt
Filed under: Felis catus (domestic cat)
Lineage: Eukaryota; Metazoa; Chordata; Mammalia; Carnivora; Felidae
Description: lncRNA (ENSFCAG00000040164.2)
Source: RNAcentral
GAACUUUCAUCAGAUUUUCAAAAAUGCCUGUGACACACAAAAAAGGAUAGGAACCACUGACAUAGUAAAUCAUCAACAAGUUUACUGGAAAUUUUUGCUUGCCAGGUAGACUGCCUAAUGAAGCAGAAGGUCAUGAGAAAGUCAUUCUCCUUCUCUGACUUGCGUCUCCCUGGAGAACUACUGCCGGUAGCUACUGGGACCUCCUUCCCUAGGACUGGCACUGAGUGUCCCUGGAUCCAGCCCCGAAUGAGGCUCAAGUCUAGGCAAGGAGCAAGCUCAGGAAAUCACGUAAGAGCCCCAACACGGGGAGACCAGACGUCUGCCUUUGAUGCAGAGAGAGAUAAUAGGUGAGUGGGGGGAACCUGGAAAGCAAAAAGAUACCAAAGGCCAUCUGGAGGUGAUAGUGGGAGUGAAUUGGAGGUGAGUCAGCCAGCUCUCAGGGGAGUUAAAAGACAAGUGGGUAAUUGUGGGUGCAGCCGGCGGGUCACACAGAGAAAAUGAGGAACAAGUGGUUAAUUGGGCCCACAAGCCCAGGAUCCCGCCUGUAAUUAGCAAAUUGCAGGGCUUUGAUAUUUGCUUUGGUAACAACCUAUGUAGUAAAUUGCAGGGAGGAAAACUGCACCCCCAACCUGGGAGGUGACCCUGUGUCUGUAUUCCCCAAACCAUUGUCUCACAAACACUCAUAGGCAGUACACCCAUGAGUGCAAUCCCAGCAUCGGGGUGAGGGGGCCUUGCACCUUUCUGAAGGCUGCCAGCAGCCUGUGACACUUUCUGUGUUCCCCUUUACUCCUGGUUUAAGUUUUGGCCAACUCAGAGGUGGAGUUGAGGCCUCAUUCCCUGGUAUGGGCUCCCACCAUUCACACACUGUUUCCAACGUUCUCUUGAGCCACACAGCCCCUACUGUAGAGUUCCUCUAGCCAGAGAUAUGACCUAGGAGUGGCUAUGGGGAAUUCCAAUGUGAGUGUCAUAGGAUUGUCUGGGGAGAGACAAGAGAGCCCUGUUGCAGUGUUGUUGAAAUCUGUCCAUGAGGAUGGCCUGUGCUGGUCCCUGAUCAGAGAUUGGCCUUCACAGAUUUCAUAUCUGUGUUUAUCUUUGCAAGCUUCUGAGACGUUCUAACCAGAGUGAAGACCAGAAGUAUAGGAAAAUUGCUUUGGGAUUGUCAUGGUAAAACCUUAGG